Long non-coding RNA from Cynoglossus semilaevis (tongue sole), 834 nucleotides. RefSeq lists it as uncharacterized. The transcript is spliced from 6 exons. The record is from RefSeq and is a predicted model, not a curated record. NCBI's taxonomy places the organism in Eukaryota, Metazoa, Chordata, Actinopteri, Pleuronectiformes, Cynoglossidae.
CUUUGUAUUGUUAAAGAAAAAAAAAAAAGAAAAAAAGAGAGAUGGAUAUAGAAGGUCUGGUGGUACAGUGUAAAUAAUGAUGUCAUUAUUUGUCUAAGAAAAGAUUUGUACAGUUGUUUCAGACGUGCACUUAUCCUGAUAUUUUCCUGUUUGCUGUUUAAUAUCAGUUAAUUGCUAGAGCUCUUGAUAAUAAACAUAUCGAUGUGUCCUAAAUAGCAGUUCAAAGUCUCAACGUCUUGUUAUUCAGUAAGAUGGCAGAGACUUUGGAGUGACGUCACCACCAGUGGAGUGUUGGCAUACCUGGAAAAAUACACGUUUCCUUUACCGUCGCUUGAAACGUUCUCAGGAUGAAUUGUAUGGUGAAUACAACGGGGUUUGAAAUUAGCACAACUUGGAGGGUGCUACGGUCCGUUAAUGUUCGUCGUGGUACAAGCACACCCAGACCUGGGAGAGAGCAGGAUGUUGGUGGAAAGCCAUGGGCACAUGUUGGAAAUUCAUGACAUGUACUUCUCAGGGCUCUGUGUCACUGUUUACAGAGACGGCACUGGGUCAAAACAUGAAAUUCCCAUCAAGUAUCAUCUGUGCUCGUUUAAAAACACUGGGCAGACGGAGGUACUGACGACUUCAGUGAGUAAAAAUAUUCAGCUCCAACUCCAAAACCAAACGCUGCGUUGAACAACAGGACCUGAUCGUGGACCUGAUCGUGGACCUGUUCCUGGUGAUCUCGUUGUCUUCCUCUUCUUGUUUGCAGACACAGGCACACAGUGGCGAUGUAGAACCACGUAGCACCAGCUUUGGAUUCUAAGCAGCGGCAGCAGCAGCAGCAGCGGCGGC